CACCAGACUCCUACGGGAGGCAGCAGUGAGGAAUAUUGGUCAAUGGGCGGGAGCCUGAACCAGCCAAGCCGCGUGAAGGAAGAAGGCGCCAGGCGUCGUAAACUUCUUUUGUCGGAGAACAAAGGGCGCCACGUGUGGCGUUGUGAGUGUACCCGAAGAAAAAGCAUCGGCUAACUCCGUGCCAGCAGCCGCGGUAAUACGGAGGAUGCGAGCGUUAUCCGGAUUUAUUGGGUUUAAAGGGUGCGUAGGCGGCCCGAAAGUACAGGGGAAAAGGCCGGGGGCACACCCCCGGCGAGCCGUUGAAACUGUCGGACUAGAGACGGCGAGAAGUACGCGGAAUGCGCGGUGUAGCGGUGAAAUGCAUAGAUAUCGCGCAGAACUCCGAUUGCGAAGGCAGCGUACCGGCGCCGGACUGACGCUGAGGCACGAAAGCGUGGGUAUCGAACAGGAUUAGAUACCCGGGUA
This 465-nucleotide ribosomal RNA is filed under the name uncultured bacterium. Its description in RNAcentral is "bacterial SSU rRNA". It matches the Rfam family "Bacterial small subunit ribosomal RNA", at positions 329 to 792 of the family's 1533-position model. The record is from RNAcentral.